Molecule: ribosomal RNA, 229 nt
Filed under: uncultured bacterium
Lineage: Bacteria
Description: partial 16S ribosomal RNA
Rfam family: Bacterial small subunit ribosomal RNA
Source: RNAcentral
CGCGUAGGCGGCCUGGUAGGUCAGAUGUGAAAGCCCGGGGCUUAACCCCGGAAGUGCAUUUGAUACUGUCAGGCUUGAGUAUGGGAGAGGGAAGUGGAAUUCCUGGUGUAGAGGUGAAAUUCGUAGAUAUCAGGAGGAACACCGGUGGCGAAGGCGACUUCCUGGACCAAUACUGACGCUGAGGCGCGAAGGCGUGGGGAGCAAACAGGAUUAGAUACCCUGGUAGUCC